This 106-nucleotide small nucleolar RNA is filed under the name Gossypium hirsutum (cotton). RNAcentral describes it as "Plant small nucleolar RNA R71". It matches the Rfam family "Plant small nucleolar RNA R71". From Rfam's summary of the family: R71 is a member of the C/D box family of snoRNAs containing the C (UGAUGA) and D (CUGA) box motifs. Multiple nearly identical copies of this snoRNA have been identified in Arabidopsis, and it is thought to function as a 2'-O-ribose methylation guide for 18S ribosomal RNA. The record is from Rfam by way of RNAcentral. Lineage: Eukaryota; Viridiplantae; Streptophyta; Magnoliopsida; Malvales; Malvaceae.
AACCCAUGGUGAGGGCACUUUCUCAGUAAGUUCUUGUAUCUCUCCUAUGCAUCGUAAAGGGUUUCUAUAUCCAUCUACACAAAAGAUGAGAUAUCAUUAUGUAAUU